UUUCCUCAGUUUUGUAAUGCCUUACUCACUUCUCUGAAUUAUAUUUUUUUCCUCCUGCAUCUCCUUCGUUGUCUUAACUCCUUUGUGACCAUCGUUGUAGUCAUUAAGGCUCUAAACUCUUUGUUCACACUUGCUUUGUUUCAUCCUUAUAGCUCCCUUACAGCGUUGUCGCCCUUUCUCUCUCUUUCAUUUGCUUUGUUUAAAUGUGAAAAUUUAUAUUUUACAUUAUCAUCUUCCUUGUGUAAUUUUUAUUAUAUCCCAUUAGUUUCCAUCCUGUGAUUGCGUGUUCCUCACCUCCUGACUUUCUUCAAUUUGCUUCUCUCUCCGCCUUCUCAUGCCUUGCUACUUUCCAUGUCCACCUUUAGUUUGCUUCUUAUGGUUUUUGUGUUCCUCGCUACCUUACUUUCUUCAAUGUACUCCUCUGUCUCACUCCACCUUCUCACGCCUCGCUACUUUCCAAGUCAACCCUCAUCAUGUUACCCUUCCCUUCUCACCCUCUUAAUCCUCUCAUCGUCAUGCAUCUCAAAUUGCCAACCUGUCCUCAGUCUUGUAUGUCAACAUAAUUCCUAACUAGUAAGGAACCAUUUGUAUAGUAUUAUUUUAAAUGAAACUCUUAGGUUAGGUUGGCACUGGUACAUGACCUACCGUAUUUAACCGAACAUAACACAAAACAACAUAACCUGACCAAACAAUACAACAUAAAAAUAAAAGAAUUCAGCCACGGCAUACUAGGUAGGCCGUUCUUAAUUAAAUCCAGCCAUUCUUACCCACAUAUUUGUCCAGUAUAUUCCCAAAGCUACAUAACACAUGGCAAAACAACCUAAUAAAAUCUAACAAUUGAACUUGCACGGCAACCUAACCAAAGCUAACAUAACUUAAUACAACUUAACCAAACAUAACUCAACCUAACACAUACCAGAGAUAAGCCAAGGUAUUAGAUUUUUUAAAGUAACAUUCUAAUUGCUUAUGAAAUGCAACUUUCUCGUACCUAUACAUAAAAUUGUAUUUGCUAAGCAUUAAAUUUAACACUUACACAGGAGAGGUUGCUUAUUCAGCAUCCCCUCCCCUACAUCCUUCGUCUCUUACCUCUUGGUCUCCAACUUGUCCUUGACACUUUCUUUAGCGCUCUCACUCUAUUCCCACGUCAUUUAUCUCUAUCCCUCCCUCCCGUCUUACACUUUUCCUAGCUGUUCUUAGGACCAAAGUUUUGGUAUUUGGUAAAGAAGGUGGGCCCGGAUGUGUGUUGUUCAUGGCCGGAGACAGGAGGAGGGCGGGUGUGGGCGCAAGUGCAACGUGACUGAAGCCCACUUGUUGCAUUGUGUAGCCACUCUUUGUGUUAGGUGGUGGUGAGCAGCAGGUGCGGGUUAACACUUUCACUAGCCACCCCCACACCCAGCUACCAGCCAAUCACUACCCCUCUGCUUCCUCUACUGCCCUCUCUCUCUCUCUCCCUCCAACACUUCCUAGCAAACUUUUCUUGUCAGGCUCAUGCGAGUAAUUUGCUCUUUUAUGUUUUAGGUUUGUAUAUUUUGAAAGUUUUCGUAAUUACCACUAUGUAAAUGGAGGGCGUUCGCAAGGCUAAUAGUGUUAAGGAAGCUGGGAGUAAAAAAAAAUGUUUAAUAUAUUCUGGCAACACCAUGUUGGUAAGCUGCCGCGACCAAUCAGCGAGGACGUUAGAGGCCGUUUUGGAGUUCAUGGUGGUUGCCCGCUGACGAGGGUUGCGAGACAGUUGAUCUUGUGUAGUGUGGUAGCCUGCUAGUCUGCUGCUAGACGCUUCAGUGGGAGGGUGAGAGUUAUCUCUCCUCUGUCCCCCGUCUUGUCCUGUCUGGAGUUAAACUCCACAGAGAAGUCAACCGUGGUUUAUUAAAACCAUCUAAAUACCCGUCUUUGAUGUUCCUAGAUAAUGAGAAAUAUUUAAGUCUUGUGGAUCACAUUUAGUGAAGAGACAGUGUGGUUAUUGUGACUUGAGAUGAAACUGGAGGUGGUGGUGGUGAGCGGAUUCCCGUUCUACUACAGCCUAAAUUGUAUGGGAAAUUUUGAGUUGUGUGGUGUAGUAGCAGCAGCAGGGUGGCGGCAGGCAAGUGUAUGGGCCCAUAGUGGUGUUAUAGCUUGUGUACUAGGUGUGUUCACUGUAUGGCCUGCUCCUGCCCGACCCUCACACGACACACGGCUAGAAUCGAGUGAUGAAGAUAACAUGUGAAGUAACAGGUGUGUCAGUGCCUCUGCUGCUCUCUCCUGCCUGCUAGGCACCACAUUGUGUCACAGCUCUUUGACUGCCAAGUGCCACAGCACACCCUCUCACUCCUAUCUAAAAAAAAAAAAAAAAAAAAAAUUAUUCGUUGUAUCAGCGAAGGUUACCGACCAGUGUUCAU
Cherax quadricarinatus is the source of this 2372-nucleotide non-coding RNA. The record is from RefSeq and is a predicted model, not a curated record. NCBI's taxonomy places the organism in Eukaryota, Metazoa, Arthropoda, Malacostraca, Decapoda, Parastacidae.